GACGAACGCUAGCGGCGUGCCUAAGAAAUGCAAGUUGAGCGAGGUGAUGGACUUCGGUCUGUUUACCUAGCAGCGAACGGUCGCGUAACACGUAAGCAACCUGCCUCGAAGUUUGGGAUAGCCCUCCGAAAGGAGGAGUAAUACCGGAUGUGGAUAUAUUUAGACAUCUUUAUGUAUCUAAAGCAGCAAUGCGCUUCGAGAUGGGCUUGCGGCCUAUCAGCUAGUUGGUGAGGUAACGGCCCACCAAGGCGACGACGGGUAGCUGGUCUGAGAGGAUGAUCAGCCGGAUUGGGACUGAGAUACGGCCCAGACUCCUACGGGUGGCAG
RNAcentral lists this ribosomal RNA (327 nucleotides) under uncultured Armatimonadota bacterium. RNAcentral's name for it is "bacterial SSU rRNA". It matches the Rfam family "Bacterial small subunit ribosomal RNA", at positions 28 to 351 of the family's 1533-position model. The record is from RNAcentral. Lineage: Bacteria; Bacillati; Armatimonadota.